AAUUGCUCUGCAGAUGAACUUGUUCCUCAAGGAGUCAACCUUGAGAUGAACAUCCUCUCAGGGGUACCCUGAGAGGCAUCCCAGCUCAGGGGGAGAUCGAGGGUGCAGCCUACUGCAGUCC
This is a long non-coding RNA of Cygnus olor (mute swan), 121 nucleotides long. RefSeq lists it as uncharacterized. NCBI's taxonomy places the organism in Eukaryota, Metazoa, Chordata, Aves, Anseriformes, Anatidae. The record is from RefSeq and is a predicted model, not a curated record. The transcript is spliced from 3 exons.